CUUGCUCCCUUAGGUCAGCGGCGGACGGGUGAGUAACACGUGGGUAACCUGCCUGUAAGACUGGGAUAACUCCGGGAAACCGGGGCUAAUACCGGAUGCUUGAUUGAACCGCAUGGUUCAAUCAUAAAAGGUGGCUUUCAGCUACCACUUGCAGAUGGACCCGCGGCGCAUUAGCUAGUUGGUGAGGUAACGGCUCACCAAGGCGACGAUGCGUAGCCGACCUGAGAGGGUGAUCGGCCACACUGGGACUGAGACACGGCCCAGACUCCUACGGGAGGCAGCAGUAGGGAAUCUUCCGCAAUGGACGAAAGUCUGACGGAGCAACGCCGCGUGAGUGAUGAAGGUUUUCGGAUCGUAAAACUCUGUUGUUAGGGAAGAACAAGUACCGUUCGAAUAGGGCGGUACCUUGACGGUACCUAACCAGAAAGCCACGGCUAACUACGUGCCAGCAGCCGCGGUAAUACGUAGGUGGCAAGCGUUGUCCGGAAUUAUUGGGCGUAAAGCGCGCGCAGGCGGUUUCUUAAGUCUGAUGUGAAAGCCCCCGGCUCAACCGGGGAGGGUCAUUGGAAACUGGGGAACUUGAGUGCAGAAGAGGAGAGUGGAAUUCCACGUGUAGCGGUGAAAUGCGUAGAGAUGUGGAGGAACACCAGUGGCGAAGGCGACUCUCUGGUCUGUAACUGACGCUGAGGCGCGAAAGCGUGGGGAGCGAACAGGAUUAGAUACCCUGGUAGUCCACGCCGUAAACGAUGAGUGCUAAGUGUUAGAGGGUUUCCGCCCUUUAGUGCUGCAGCAAACGCAUUAAGCACUCCGCCUGGGGGAGUACGGUCGCAAGACUGAAACUCAAAGGAAUUGACGGGGGGGGACCGACCAAAGUUAAAUGGAAGGGUUUUCCCCUCAAGACGA
Molecule: ribosomal RNA, 903 nt
Filed under: Bacillus licheniformis
Lineage: Bacteria; Bacillati; Bacillota; Bacilli; Caryophanales; Bacillaceae
Description: bacterial SSU rRNA
Rfam family: Bacterial small subunit ribosomal RNA
Source: RNAcentral